ACCUGAAAGCUUUAUCCUCCACCAUGGAUCAGAGAGCCUCACAAACAUUCUCCACUGAGACUGGCCUGAUUAGCUCCCUGUUCACUCACUCGAUGACCCAAUCGAUUAGGGGUAGGAAAAUGGAGAGGGUCUGACUCCCCAAAUUUAUCGUUCAUCAAGAUCUGAAGAAGGUGAUAAUCUCCUAUCUGAGCCCCCCUCGUCAUCCAACCACUAGCUACUGCUAUCCCU
Molecule: long non-coding RNA, 228 nt
Filed under: Elaeis guineensis (African oil palm)
Lineage: Eukaryota; Viridiplantae; Streptophyta; Magnoliopsida; Arecales; Arecaceae
Description: long non-coding RNA (EGUI_LNC026181)
Source: RNAcentral